GGAGUUACGCAAGUUGUUAAGGGUCUCUUUUACGUUAACCAGUGGUUGAGGGUUCGAUUCUCAACUUGGGUAUGGAAUAGUUUUAAAAUUCAUGGCUAACAUUUACCUCUUUAAUGGACCUAUGGACCUACCAAACGCAAAAAGUUAGUCAUUGGGCUCGCUCUAGUGGUUACUCAGCAAAAACUUUGAUCACUAUAAAUAUCAUUCAAAGGAUAUAAAAAAUUAUCAUCUAAAAUUAAACAAUAUUUAUUCUAAUUAUCUUCAUCCUUCUAUCUUUUUACUCUUCUAUGAAUUUUAGACUCAACAUUUUAAUUCUAUGAAAAUUAGGGGUGAGUAUUCGAUCAAGCCAAGUCGAAUCGAGCCAAAAAUUUUCGAGUUAGUUGAGUUGACAAAUCC
Molecule: long non-coding RNA, 396 nt
Filed under: Gossypium barbadense (sea-island cotton)
Lineage: Eukaryota; Viridiplantae; Streptophyta; Magnoliopsida; Malvales; Malvaceae
Description: long non-coding RNA (GBAR_LNC007867)
Source: RNAcentral